This 329-nucleotide unclassified non-coding RNA is filed under the name soil metagenome. Its description in RNAcentral is "partial contains 5.8S ribosomal RNA, internal transcribed spacer 2, and large subunit ribosomal RNA". The stretch from base 1 to 120 matches the Rfam family "5.8S ribosomal RNA", at positions 35 to 154 of the family's 154-position model. The record is from RNAcentral.
GAUGAAGAACGCAGCGAAAUGCGAUAAGUAAUGUGAAUUGCAGAAUUCAGUGAAUCAUCGAAUCUUUGAACGCACAUUGCGCUCUCUGGUAUUCCGGGGGGCAUGCCUGUUCGAGCGUCAUUAUAACCACUCAAGCUCUCGCUUGGUAUUGGGGUUCGCGGUUUCGCGGCCCCUAAAAUCAGUGGCGGUGCCUGUCGGCUCUACGCGUAGUAAUACUUCUCGCGAUUGAGUUCGAUAGGUCUACUUGCCAGUAACCCCCAAUUUUUACAGGUUGACCUCGGAUCAGGUAGGGAUACCCGCUGAACUUAAGCAUAUCAAUAAGCGGAGGA